RNAcentral lists this ribosomal RNA (507 nucleotides) under uncultured Oscillibacter sp. RNAcentral's name for it is "partial 16S ribosomal RNA". Lineage: Bacteria; Bacillati; Bacillota; Clostridia; Eubacteriales; Oscillospiraceae. The record is from RNAcentral.
CACGUAGUUAGCCGUGGCUUAUUCGACAGGUACCGUCUUCUGCUCUUCCCUGUCAAAAGAAGUUUACAACCCGAAAGCCUUCUUCCUUCACGCGGCGUUGCUGGGUCAGGCCUUGCGCCCAUUGCCCAAUAUUCCCCACUGCUGCCUCCCGUAGGAGUCUGGGCCGUAUCUCAGUCCCAAUGUGGCCGGCCAACCUCUCAGUCCGGCUACUGAUCGUCGCCUUGGUAGGCCGUUACCCUACCAACUAGCUAAUCAGACGCGAGGCCAUCUCUCAGCGAUAAAUCUUUGGUACCAGUACCAUGCGAUACCCGUACGUUAUGCGGUAUUAGCAGUCGUUUCCAACUGUUGUCCCCCUCUGAAAGGCAGGUUCCUCACGCGUUACUCACCCGUCCGCCACUAAGUACGUCCUCUCCAUUGACCGAAAUCUCUUUCGAGGGUACUCCGUUCGACUUUGCAUGUGUUAAGCACCGCCGCCAGCGUUCGUCCUGAGCCAGGACUACAAACUCU